RNAcentral lists this ribosomal RNA (37 nucleotides) under Cladocopium sp. clade C. Its description in RNAcentral is "partial 28S ribosomal RNA". The record is from RNAcentral. Lineage: Eukaryota; Dinophyceae; Suessiales; Symbiodiniaceae.
UAGCAUGAAGUCAGACAAGUGAACCCGCUGAAUUUAA